This 476-nucleotide ribosomal RNA is filed under the name uncultured organism. Its description in RNAcentral is "partial 16S ribosomal RNA". It matches the Rfam family "Bacterial small subunit ribosomal RNA", at positions 331 to 798 of the family's 1533-position model. The record is from RNAcentral.
GUACACUCCUGCGGGAGGCAGCAGUGGGGAAUAUUGCACAAUGGGCGCAAGCCUGAUGCAGCCAUGCCGCGUGUAUGAAGAAGGCCUUCGGGUUGUAAAGUACUUUCAGCGGGGAGGAAGGCGAUAAGGUUAAUAACCUUGUUGAUUGACGUUACCCGCAGAAGAAGCACCGGCUAACUCCGUGCCAGCAGCCGCGGUAAUACGGAGGGUGCAAGCGUUAAUCGGAAUUACUGGGCGUAAAGCGCACGCAGGCGGUCUGUCAAGUCGGAUGUGAAAUCCCCGGGCUCAACCUGGGAACUGCAUUCGAAACUGGCAGGCUAGAGUCUUGUAGAGGGGGGUAGAAUUCCAGGUGUAGCGGUGAAAUGCGUAGAGAUCUGGAGGAAUACCGGUGGCGAAGGCGGCCCCCUGGACAAAGACUGACGCUCAGGUGCGAAAGCGUGGGGAGCAAACAGGAUUAGAUACCCUUGUAGUCCCAU